RNAcentral lists this transfer RNA (68 nucleotides) under Marmota monax (woodchuck). RNAcentral's name for it is "tRNA.Ala". The stretch from base 7 to 63 matches the Rfam family "tRNA", at positions 9 to 63 of the family's 71-position model. Rfam says of the family: Transfer RNA (tRNA) molecules are approximately 80 nucleotides in length. The record is from RNAcentral. Lineage: Eukaryota; Metazoa; Chordata; Mammalia; Rodentia; Sciuridae.
GGUUACAGCUCAGUUGGUAGAGUGUUUGCCUAGCAUGCACAAGGUCCUGGGUUCAAUCCCCAGCACCA